AUACAAUAUUCGAAAAAG
This 18-nucleotide small RNA is filed under the name Arabidopsis thaliana (thale cress). RNAcentral's name for it is "ATSL015990". Lineage: Eukaryota; Viridiplantae; Streptophyta; Magnoliopsida; Brassicales; Brassicaceae. The record is from RNAcentral.